RNAcentral lists this ribosomal RNA (501 nucleotides) under uncultured bacterium. RNAcentral's name for it is "bacterial SSU rRNA". It matches the Rfam family "Bacterial small subunit ribosomal RNA", at positions 28 to 508 of the family's 1533-position model. The record is from RNAcentral.
GAUGAACGCUAGCGGCAGGCUUAAUACAUGCAAGUUGAGGGGCAGCAUGAUAUACGCGAGUAUAUUGAUGGCGACCGGCGGACGGGUGAGUAAUAGGUAGGAGACCUACCUCAUACAGGGGGAUAGCAUAGAGAAAUCUGUGGUAAUACCCCAUGAGGUUAUAUGAAUAGAGGCAUAUAAUCAAAGCAUAAGCGAUUAUGCGGUAUGAGAGGGGCCUACUGACCAUUAGCUAGUUGGUGAGGUAAGGGCUCACCAAGGCGAAGAUGGUUAGGGGUUUUGAGAGAGAGACCCCCCCACAUUGGAACUGAGAGACGGUCCAAGACUCCUACGGGAGGCAGCAGUAGGGAAUAUUGGGCAAUGGGCGAAAGCCUGACCCAGCCCAUGCCGCGUGAAGGAAGACGGCCUUAGGGUUUGUAAACUUCUUUACUACGCGAAUAGAGGUUAGUACGAGAUACUAAGUAGGAAGGUAGUGUAAGUAAAAGCAACCGGCUAACUCCGUAG